Long non-coding RNA from Ictalurus punctatus (channel catfish), 1357 nucleotides. The record is from Ensembl. NCBI's taxonomy places the organism in Eukaryota, Metazoa, Chordata, Actinopteri, Siluriformes, Ictaluridae.
GGGACACGCUAUCCAAGAAACUAGGGGGACAAGGUGGGGGACACCCUAUCCCAGGGAACAAGGUGAGGGACACCCCAUCCCAGAGAACUCGGGGGACAAGGUAGUGGACACCCUAUCCCAGGGAACUUGGGGGGCAAGGUAGGGGACACCCUAUCCCAGGGAACUCGGGGGACAAGGUAGGGGACACCCUAUCCCAGGGAACUCGGGGGACAAGGUGGGGACACCUUAUCCCAGGGAACUCGGGGGACACCCUAUCCCAGGGAACUCGGGGGACAAGGUGGGGGAUACCCUAUCCCAGGGAACUCAGGUUACAAGGUUGGGGAAACCCUAUCCCAGGGAACUCGGGGGACAAGGUGGGGGAUACCCUAUCCCAGGGAACUCAGGUUACAAGGUUGGGGAAACCCUAUCCCAGGGAACUCGGGGGACAAGGUGGGGGACACUCUAUCCCAGGGAACUCGGGGGACAAGGUGGGGGACACCCUGCCAACUCAUCGCAGGGCACAAUCACACACACAUUCACACACUACGGACAAUUUUGAAAUGCCAAUCAGCCUACAACACAUGUCUUUGGACUGGUGGAGGUACCAGAGUACCCAGAGGAAAAGUAUGAGGAGAGCAUGCAAGCUCAGUGCACACAGGGUGAAGACAGGAAUCGAACCCCCAACCCUGGAGGUGCAGGGUACAUGGUAACCACUAAGCCAUGAUGCAACAAAAAGUGUGCUCUUUUGAUCGUUUUACUCUAUCCUAAACUCCAGGUUGUGUAGGACAACCUCAAUAAAAGAGUCUCUGCUUUGAAAUUAUUACCCGUGUGUAGGUCUUUACCUAAAAGUUCAACUUUACAAUUUAUUAUGAAGAGGAUACGCAUUUUAAAGUGUGCGUGAAUAAAACUGCACUAACGAGACACGCGGCUCGUUCAGCCACAAAACGCCGGAAAUGUGUUUCUAUAAACAUGAAUUCGAUGAAUAAAACUACAACAUACUGGUCCUAAUGUGGAUCAUUUUUCACCGUUGAAUAUGUAUUUAUUUUAUUUUAUUUAUUUUAGAAAAAUCUGAAUAGAAACAAUGUUAUUAGCGGUCAUUUUAUUAUUAUUUAAUUAUUAUUCAUUUCUUCACGUGAGAACCUGGAACAUGACUACAGCUGUGACAAUAAAGCAGCAUGGUGAUGAGAGUCAAAUCAUCACACAGUGUGCAGAAGAGGAAGAUGGAGGCGACUGUUCGUUUACUGUGUGUGUGUGCGUGUGCGUGUGUGUGCGUGUGUGUGUGUUUAAAUUAUAAAAUGUUCUAGAUGUUUAGAUUACUCCCUUCCAUGAGAUGACAGUUCAAUUCCUGAAGCUGUUCACAUAGGAAAGAUGAUAGAUA